RNAcentral lists this transfer RNA (122 nucleotides) under Nostoc sp. UCD121. RNAcentral describes it as "tRNA-Tyr". It matches the Rfam family "tRNA". Rfam says of the family: Transfer RNA (tRNA) molecules are approximately 80 nucleotides in length. Their secondary structure includes four short double-helical elements and three loops (D, anti-codon, and T loops). Further hydrogen bonds mediate the characteristic L-shaped molecular structure. tRNAs have two regions of fundamental functional importance: the anti-codon, which is responsible for specific mRNA codon recognition, and the 3' end, to which the tRNAs corresponding amino acid is attached (by aminoacyl-tRNA synthetases). tRNAs cope with the degeneracy of the genetic code in two manners: having more than one tRNA (with a specific anti-codon) for a particular amino acid; and 'wobble' base-pairing, i.e. permitting non-standard base-pairing at the 3rd anti-codon position. The record is from RNAcentral. Lineage: Bacteria; Bacillati; Cyanobacteriota; Cyanophyceae; Nostocales; Nostocaceae. RNAcentral also lists the same sequence under 2 other names.
GGGUCGGUGGCCGAGUCUGGCUGAAGGCGACAGUCUGUAAAACUGUUCUUUUUGCACGCAGGUACCCUUCCCUUCGGGACGCUCCGCGAACGGGAAGCAAGCUACAAAUCCUGCUCGACCCA